AAAAAAAAAAAAAAGUUAGUGUGCUAAAUUGGGUUAUUGGGCUGAGUUGUUGUUGGGUUAUAGGCCAUCACACCUCCUCGUAGAUCGAAGGGGAAAUACUCUAGAGGCGUAGUUAACUAAAUGGGCCCGCACGUUGAGCCUAGUAACAAAUGGGGACCCAAGUGCGCGCCGGAUGAGGUCUUAGCCUUAUUACGAUAUGAGUAAUGGUUUUUCUGCUUUUGGUAAAAUGGCAGAGGCUUUCAUUUUAUAAGUCGGAAAUAGUAACUCUUAUUAAUAGCCCCCAAAUGAAAAGUUUCACCCGCCCAAACUUAUGCCAAUAUCUACUACAAGUGGAAUAUCUAAUUCCCAAAAUAAAAUUAGUUUUAGG
Molecule: long non-coding RNA, 367 nt
Filed under: Ananas comosus (pineapple)
Lineage: Eukaryota; Viridiplantae; Streptophyta; Magnoliopsida; Poales; Bromeliaceae
Description: long non-coding RNA (ACOM_LNC021629)
Source: RNAcentral